UUAUAGACAUCCCACAGCAUCACUUGGAUUUGACGAGAUGUGGAUGACUCUUAUCUGAAGUGGAAACAGACAUUGGUAAGGAGACCAAAGAUGCAUACAAUAUUCCAGACGUGAUCUCACCAAGCCCCAUGUGGUUCAAAUUUCAAACAGCAAAACCCAAUGACAAAGCACUGGGGCACAAUUUCUGUAAUCUCACAACAAAACGUCAGAGGGAGCAUGCUGACACUGCAAAAAGUGAUGUUUCCAAUUCCACCUUUAAUCCCUG
Molecule: long non-coding RNA, 265 nt
Organism: Pristis pectinata (smalltooth sawfish)
Lineage: Eukaryota; Metazoa; Chordata; Chondrichthyes; Rhinopristiformes; Pristidae
Exons: 3
Source: RefSeq, a predicted model, not a curated record